ACCAGAAUUCGUCUAAUGUUUACUUUGUUUAUUUGGUAGGUCAAAAAAAACCAAGGGCCCUUGUAGGCUACAAAAGACUUCUCAGACCACUCGUGCCACGACUGAGAAGAUCAUCAUUACAUGGGAUCCUCGACAUUGUGCGACUGCAACAAAGGAGCAGCACAUUGCGUUGGGCACCGACUUUGGCUCGAUUAUCAGGAACCAUUGCCCCCUUAUAUGGAAGUCAUGGAGACCUGUCCCAUAAGGAGUCAAGGAAGUAGUUCUUCAUGAAUUAUCGGGGGGGUCAAAGUUUCCAGAAAUUGACAUGUUCAAGGAGAUGUAUGUUCGGCCCAGGGAUGAGCUGACGGAGCAGCUUCAUUCCACCAUGGUGGAGAAGGGCCAGACUGUUCUGGAGGAGAUUGUGUCCUAAUUCCCGUAGAGACCCCGAUCGAGGAGGUGUUUCCCCUUGAGGACGCUGGUUUUCAAAUCAUGACAGACACACUCAAUCGGACCCUUAAUCGUCGACCUAGGAAUGUUCACCGGGGGCUUGGGAAAACCCGCCUUCGAGACCUGUCUGCCUCAUCUUCCAAGCAGAGAACUGUCAAAAUGUUAACAUCUGAAGUGGCAAACCUAAAGCAGUGGAUUACCGCCCAGCAGUCUCAGAUUGCAGCCCAAAACAAUUUGAUGAACCAGAUUUGUCAGGCACUUCAAAUCUCUAGCAUUCACUUCCCCGACAUUGAACCACCUCUAAAACGACCUUUCAGCCGCCCACCACACCAAUUACAACCUCCCAGCCCCCCAACGCAGCAACAACACCACCAGCAGGCAAGUGUGAUGUGAGUUAUUGCCAGCAACAACAUUUUGUGUGUUGAUAAAUAUAUUUUUUAUAU
Malus domestica (apple) is the source of this 869-nucleotide long non-coding RNA. RefSeq lists it as uncharacterized. The record is from RefSeq and is a predicted model, not a curated record. NCBI's taxonomy places the organism in Eukaryota, Viridiplantae, Streptophyta, Magnoliopsida, Rosales, Rosaceae.